UACAGAGGUCUCAAGCGUUGUUCGGAUUCAUUGGGCGUAAAGGGUGCGUAGGUGGUGCUGUAAGUCAGGUGUGAAAUCCCGGGGCUCAACCCCGGAACUGCACUUGAUACUGCAGUGCUCGAGGACUGGAGAGGAGAUCGGAAUUCAUGGUGUAGCAGUGAAAUGCGUAGAUAUCAUGAGGAAGACCAGGGGCGAAGGCGGAGCUCUGGACAGGUCCUGAAAAUGAGGCACCAAGGCCAGGGGAGCAAACGGG
Molecule: ribosomal RNA, 253 nt
Filed under: uncultured bacterium
Lineage: Bacteria
Description: partial 16S ribosomal RNA
Rfam family: Bacterial small subunit ribosomal RNA
Source: RNAcentral